Molecule: ribosomal RNA, 425 nt
Filed under: uncultured bacterium
Lineage: Bacteria
Description: partial 16S ribosomal RNA
Rfam family: Bacterial small subunit ribosomal RNA
Source: RNAcentral
GUGAGGAAUUUUCCGCAAUGGGCGAAAGCCUGACGGAGCAAUGCCGCGUGAAGGAUGAAGGCCUAUGGGUUGUAAACUUCUUUUCUCAGAAAAGAAUUAUGACGGUAUCUGAGGAAUAAGCAUCGGCUAACUCUGUGCCAGCAGCCGCGGUAAGACAGAGGAUGCAAGCGUUAUCCGGAAUGAUUGGGCGUAAAGCGUCUGUAGGUUGUUUAAAAAGUAUUCUGUCAAAGAUUAGGGCUUAACCCUAGAUAGGCAGAAUAAACUUUUAAGCUAGAGUUUGGUAGAGGCAGAGGGAAUUCCCGGUGGAGCGGUGAAAUGCGUAGAUAUCGGGAGGAACACCAAAGGCGAAGGCACUCUGCUGGGCCAAUACUAACACUGAGAGACGAAAGCGAGGGGAGCAAAUGGGAUUAGAAACCUAGUAGUCC